AACGAACGCUGGCGGCGUGCCUAACACAUGCAAGUCGUGCGAGAAAGUUUCCUUCGGGAAGCGAGUAAAGCGGCGCACGGGUGAGUAACACGUAGGUAACCUACCUUUCAGUCCGGAAUAACCAGCUGAAAAGCUGGCUAAUGCCGGGUAAGACCACGACCUCUACGGGGGUCGCGGCCAAAGGCGGCCUCUUCAUGAAAGCUGAUGCUGAGAGAUGGGCCUGCGCACCAUUAGCUAGUUGGUGAGGUAAUAGCUCACCAAGGCUUUGAUGGUUAGCUGGUCUGAGAGGAUGACCAGCCACACUGGGACUGAGACACGGCCCAGACUCCUAC
RNAcentral lists this ribosomal RNA (332 nucleotides) under uncultured bacterium. RNAcentral's name for it is "bacterial SSU rRNA". It matches the Rfam family "Bacterial small subunit ribosomal RNA", at positions 29 to 342 of the family's 1533-position model. The record is from RNAcentral.